Molecule: ribosomal RNA, 499 nt
Filed under: uncultured bacterium
Lineage: Bacteria
Description: partial 16S ribosomal RNA
Rfam family: Bacterial small subunit ribosomal RNA
Source: RNAcentral
GACGAACGCUGGCGGCGUGCCUAAUACAUGCAAGUCGAGCGAAGUUUUUCUGGUUCUUGCACCGGCAAAACUUAGCGGCGAACGGGUGAGUAACACGUAAAGUACCUGCCUCAUAGACUUGGACUACUAUUGGAAACGAUAGUUAAUACCGGAUAAUAGCAUUAACUGCUUGGUUGAUGUUUAAUAGUUGGUUUUGCUAACACUAUGAGAUGUCUUUGCGGUGCAUUAGCUAGUUGGUGGGGUAAAGGCCUACCAAGGCGGCGAUGCAUAGCCGACCGGAGAGGAGGGUCGGCGACACUGGGACGGAGACAGGGCCCAGGCUCCUGCGGGAGGGAGCAGAAGGGAAUGGGCCGCAAUAGGCGAGAGCCUGGCGGAACAAGGCCACGUGAGUGACAGAAACUUUCGGUUCGGAAAGAUCGGUUGUUAGGGAAGAAUGGUUGUGUAGUGUCUAGAAGCAGGAGAGACGGUAACUAGCAAAAAAGCAACGGCUAACUACGUG